Ixodes scapularis (black-legged tick) is the source of this 1682-nucleotide long non-coding RNA. RefSeq lists it as uncharacterized. The record is from RefSeq and is a predicted model, not a curated record. The transcript is spliced from 4 exons. NCBI's taxonomy places the organism in Eukaryota, Metazoa, Arthropoda, Arachnida, Ixodida, Ixodidae.
GCUCAACGGCUCAACGGCUCAACAGUUCGACUUCGACUCAAUUUUCGGUUUUCAACGGUUCAAAAUGGCUAGGUGGCGUAAGCUGCCGCCCGAUCCAAAGGGCUCAGCCGUAUUCAUUCAUCCAUCCAUUCAUUCGGCUUCAACAAUGGUGGACUGUAGACGAGUUUUUGUCCGUUUUGUCCUUUUUUUCUCCGGGUCCCUACAUCGAACCAGAGCCCCGCAGCCGCCGCUCCAGGACAGCAAAAGCCAGCGAUGCCUCUUUAAACGAUAACAAUGGAGGGACUUUUCAGAGAGGUAGCUGAUCAGGGAAGACUCAGUUCCCAAGAAAUGGUGAGGAAGAGCUGUGCAUCGAUGACCUGAAGGAAGCACUUGCACAAGAGCCUCUGCAACCCGCAGACCAACAGACAAGUAGGAAGAGUAAAUGGGACACGAUUUCUUGUAGACAGAUAGAUAUUCAUUUGUGUGUUUAAGUACAGGCCACAUAGCAGGCAUUGCUGCCCGUACACGUGUGCCUAUGUGGCCGGCUUGAAGUAGACAAUGAUGACAAUGAGAAGCCUGUUGGCUUGACACAUGCGGAAUGUUGAUGAUUAUGGGAGAGUGAGAGGUGUUGGUUCAGAGUUUUUUUUGCCACUGCCUCGCAGAGCCGUGUCACCUCGUCUCUGUUUGUGAAAGGUAGGCGUGGUGGGCGUCGGGCAGGGACCUCCACAGCCUUGCACCCCGGGGGAGAUGCGAGUUGUCGUGCCGUUGGGUCUGCGCGAAGAGAGGGUCGAUACAUUUUUGUUGGGGUACAGAGCGGAGUCUUGUGGGACCUCAGGGCCAGUCACUUGAGCCAAUCACCGGAGGGACAUUGCCCUGGUGGAACAGUGUGCUUUACUUGGCUGCUCCCAAGGGCUGGGUUGUCAGGAUGUCAAGAGGCGAGGACUGGAGAGGUUCGGCUGUAGACGUUGCAAGCUGCUCGACCUGGAUGGUCUCCAGUGUCGCCCGAGGCUCCCUGUGGCGACCAGACAGAAGACCAAAGUGCCGGAGACCCUGCGGGGACUGCGUCGCCGCCUUCUCCUUUCCGGGGUUCCCGGAGAAACGCCCUGGUGCACCCUACGGAGGCCACCAGGAAUGCAGCUACUGCCCAUUCUCCAGCAAAGGCAGAACCCAAGUGGGGGCCCUUGGCCUGCGGCACGUGUAGCAAGGCGCAGCAGGGUCGGGCGAUCUGGCACCACCGAGUGCACACGGGGGGUGCAACGGAAGCGCCGGAUAUCCCGAUUUGCCCGAGUACCGCCAUCGCUCGAUCGUGUUGCAGGCGCUCCCAAUGGAUGAACGCGUCGCCAUUUUCGGCUCGUGGUGCAUCUCGCAUCCAUACGCUCCUAUUGGUCUGCUGCGGCUGUCGGUGCCAUAUCGCCUUUUAACCAAUCCUUCAGACAGAUGGCCAAUCAGAAGCUCCAAGUUGGACACUCGGCGGGAAAGUCGGGGAGAUCGCUGCCCGCCGCAAUCGGCCAGCGCUGCGCUUGACUUUUGCACCGACCAAUCGCAGCGUGGUGCCGGCCGAUCGCGGUGGUCGGCAAUCUCGCGGGCGGGCUUUCUCGUCGAGCGUCCAACCUAGCCUCAAGAAAGACUCGGUACCCAAGAAGGAAGAGCCGUAGUUCGAUGACCAGAAGCGAACACUCAAGAGCCCCUGCGACCCACGGACA